CGCGUAAGUAAUCUACCCUUGCAUCUGGGAUAACUACGGGAAGCUGUAGCUAAUACCGGAUACGUUCUCCUUUCUACGGAUUGGAGAAGAAAGAUGGCCUCUUCUUGAAAGCUAUCGUGCAGGGAGGAGCUUGCGUACCAUUAGCUAGUUGGUAGGGUAAUGGCCUACCAAGGCAACGAUGGUUAGCGGGUCUGAGAGGAUGAUCCGCCACACUGGAACUGGAACACGGACCAGACUCCUACGGGAGGCAGCAGUGAGGAAUAUUGCGCAAUGGGGGAAACCCUGACGCAGCGACGCCGCGUGGAUGAUGAAGGCCUUAGGGUCGUAAAAUCCUGUCAGAUGGGAAGAAAUGCAUAUAGCUUAAUACGUUAUGUGUUUGACGGUACCAU
RNAcentral lists this ribosomal RNA (389 nucleotides) under uncultured delta proteobacterium. RNAcentral describes it as "bacterial SSU rRNA". It matches the Rfam family "Bacterial small subunit ribosomal RNA", at positions 114 to 481 of the family's 1533-position model. The record is from RNAcentral. Lineage: Bacteria; Deltaproteobacteria.